RNAcentral lists this ribosomal RNA (492 nucleotides) under uncultured bacterium. RNAcentral describes it as "partial 16S ribosomal RNA". It matches the Rfam family "Bacterial small subunit ribosomal RNA", at positions 29 to 506 of the family's 1533-position model. The record is from RNAcentral.
AGUGAACGCUGGCGGUAGGCCUAACACAUGCAAGUCGAACGGCAGCACAGUAAGAGCUUGCUCUUACGGGUGGCGAGUGGCGGACGGGUGAGGAAUACAUCGGAAUCUACUUUUUCGUGGGGGAUAACGUAGGGAAACUUACGCUAAUACCGCAUACGACCUACGGGUGAAAGCAGGGGAUCUUCGGACCUUGCGCGAUUGAAUGAGCCGAUGUCGGAUUAGCUAGUUGGCGGGGUAAAGGCCCACCAAGGCGACGAUCCGUAGCUGGUCUGAGAGGAUGACUCCCCCCCCCUGGACCUGAGACCCGGCCCAGCCCCCUCCGGGGGGCAGCGGGGGGGAUUUUGGACAAAGGGGCCCAACCCUGACCCACCCUUCCCGGGGGGGUGAAGAAGCCCUCCGGUUUGUAAGGCCCUUUUGUUGGGAAAAAAAGGCCGCAGGUUAAUCCCCCGCUUUUCUGCCGGUACCCAAAGAAUAAGCCCCGGCUACCUUCGU